This 252-nucleotide ribosomal RNA is filed under the name uncultured bacterium. Its description in RNAcentral is "partial 16S ribosomal RNA". It matches the Rfam family "Bacterial small subunit ribosomal RNA", at positions 524 to 775 of the family's 1533-position model. The record is from RNAcentral.
UACGAAGGGUGCAAGCGUUACUCGGAAUUACUGGGCGUAAAGCGUGCGUAGGUGGUUUGUUAAGUCUGAUGUGAAAGCCCUGGGCUCAACCUGGGAAUUGCAUUGGAUACUGGCAGGCUAGAGUGCGGUAGAGGAUGGCGGAAUUCCCGGUGUAGCAGUGAAAUGCGUAGAGAUCGGGAGGAACAUCUGUGGCGAAGGCGGCCAUCUGGACCAGCACUGACACUGAGGCACGAAAGCGUGGGGAGCAACAGG